CAGCAGCCGCUGUAAUACGGAGGGAGCUAGCGUUAUUCGGAAUUACUGGGCGUAAAGCGCACGUAGGCGGCUUUGUAAGUUAGAGGUGAAAGCCUGGAGCUCAACUCCAGAAUUGCCUUUAAGACUGCAUCGCUUGAAUCCAGGAGAGGUGAGUGGAAUUCCGAGUGUAGAGGUGAAAUUCGUAGAUAUUCGCAAGAACACCAGUGGCGAAGGCGGCUCACUGGCCCGAUACUGACGCUGAGGUGCGAAAGCGUGGGGAGCAAACAGGAUUAGAUACCCCCGUAGUCCCUGUCUCUUAUAC
This 301-nucleotide ribosomal RNA is filed under the name uncultured bacterium. RNAcentral describes it as "partial 16S ribosomal RNA". It matches the Rfam family "Bacterial small subunit ribosomal RNA", at positions 509 to 807 of the family's 1533-position model. The record is from RNAcentral.